This 303-nucleotide ribosomal RNA is filed under the name uncultured bacterium. RNAcentral's name for it is "partial 16S ribosomal RNA". It matches the Rfam family "Bacterial small subunit ribosomal RNA", at positions 507 to 809 of the family's 1533-position model. The record is from RNAcentral.
AGCAGCAGCCACGGGAAUACGAAGGGUGCAAGCGUUAAUCGGAAUUACUGGGCGUAAAGCGUGCGUAGGCGGUUUGUUAAGUCUGCUGUGAAAUCCCCGGGCUCAACCUGGGAAUGGCAGUGGAUACUGGCAAGCUAGAGUGUGUCAGAGGGGGGUGGAAUUCCGCGUGUAGCAGUGAAAUGCGUAGAGAUCGGGAGGAACAUCAGUGGCGAAGGCGGCCAUCUGGGACAACACUGACGCUGAGGCACGAAAGCGUGGGGAGCAAACAGGAUUAGAUACCCCCGUAGUCCCUGUCUCUUAUAA